Molecule: long non-coding RNA, 1065 nt
Filed under: Vigna radiata
Lineage: Eukaryota; Viridiplantae; Streptophyta; Magnoliopsida; Fabales; Fabaceae
Description: long non-coding RNA (VRAD_LNC015084)
Source: RNAcentral
ACGAUGCGUGCGAUCACACACGUGCUUAAACCUUUAAAACACAUUUUUUGAUAUUUUUAUAAAAGGAAGAAAAGGUCUUAGCACGAGGACGAUGCGUGCGAUCACACACGUGCUUAAACCUUUAAAACACAUUUUUUGUUAUUAUUAAUUUUUAAUUUUUAUUAUUUAUUAUUUUUAAUUAACAAAUGAGUAUAACAAACAAAUAAUAAUAAAACAAAUGUCAAACAAAAAUAAUAACAAGCAAAGACAAUAAAAAUAAAACAGCCCAACAAGCCCAAUAAGAGUGAGGUGCAGAAAUUAAAAACCAAGGGUGCACAGCAAGUUUGAGACUGCCAGGGGUGUAAUUAUUAAAUUGGCGGUGCAGCGCGAAAUAGCCUAUCCAGGCCCAAAGACAGGGGUGCAGCUAUAAAGUUGGGGGUUGUCAUUGGGUAUUCGCUGGUCAGGCUUAAGGCCUCUUUGUUUGCAGAAAGAAGUGGGGGUGCGAACAGAGUUGUGUGUGGUGACAGGAGGAGAGGGCGCGCCCAAUAGCCAGGCCCAAGGCCCUUUAACCCAAACAGAAACCAUUAGGGGUUUCAACAACUGCAUCAAAUUUGCAGCAGCGUCAAAACUCAUAUCAUCUUCUCCUCUGAACGAAAGAAACUAGAGACACCUCCACUCAACCGGCCACCACCGUACCGUCCACGCCGUCGUCAACAACGAUACUCGUUGCCGGAGCCACCAGGUUGAGGCCCUCAUUCCAGUCGAGCUCCUUUCGUCCCCAUCGUGCCGCCGCCACUGCCUAGCUCUCUACAUACGCAAGAAGAACCUCCUGCCCUAGGUCACGAUGCCAUUUGUUACCAGGAGCGCCGGCGACGACGCCGAUCACCACCAGAGUUACAUAAAGGUACCGCCGACACCAAGCAAGGGUCGACGCUCUGCGUCGAGCUUUCCCUUACACUCUCACGUCGCAGCCACUGAACCAAGUUCUCCCUUCUUCCUCUGAUAUCUAUUUUCCGAUUUGGGUGCUGGAAAGCUGGCAGUGAGAGUGGAUGAUGAAGGGGACUUGAGACCGAUUUUGGUUUUCUU